Capsicum annuum is the source of this 2925-nucleotide long non-coding RNA. RefSeq lists it as uncharacterized. NCBI's taxonomy places the organism in Eukaryota, Viridiplantae, Streptophyta, Magnoliopsida, Solanales, Solanaceae. The transcript has 5 exons. The record is from RefSeq and is a predicted model, not a curated record.
UCACAGUAUAGAAGAACUGACCGAUGCUGUAGCUUUAGUCAGAACCAUGGCGGCGGUAGAGAAAGUGGUGGUGACCUCACCAACAACCCAGCAGCAGCAUAGUAGGACUACCAAUGCAAAGAAGGGAAGCAGUCCACUCGAAGAAUUAAUUAAGAAGCUCUGUUGGUCUCUUUUGGCACAGAGACUGUUGGCUACUAUUUGAGUGUCUAUAGUUUCCUUGCAAUGAAUGUAGACAAAAAAAACUUCUGGUCAUUUCUCUGUGCCAAGCUCAGUUUUUACUGGAUGAUCCUAAUGUCACACUCGUAUUCCCUGCUGAUGCGAUCGCCAAGGCUAAACAUUAUCUUGCAUUGAAUUUCGGAGGUCUAGGUGCUUAUAGUGUCGUGGCAUUCCUGGUGUAAGCAAAGAAUUUGCGAAUUUCAUUGAGAGACGUGAUGGAUAUCCAAGUGAUCCGAAAAAUAUAUUUCUCAUGGAUGCUGCCAGCAAAGGAAUAAUGCAGAUCUUACAUACCAUCAUUCGAGGCCACACUGACGGGGGAACUAUAUAGCAGUAUUGGUACCUGUUCCGCAGUAUCCGCUAUACUCCGCUAUAAUAUCACUGUAUGGGGGUUCUCUUGUUCUGUACUAUCUUGAAGAGACUGCAGACUGGGGUCUUGAUAACAACGACUUCCGGCAAUCUAUUGGACAAGGUCGACAAAACGGAACAACUGUGAGGUAACAACUAUGUUACCUCGUCAACUCCACUUGGCUAUACCUCUUCUUGGCAACCUUUUAUAUUAGCUAACUACUUAUACUACAGCUCUUUGGUCAUGCAUUUUAUUGGUUUUGCUCACAAGUUUCUUCACACAGAUCCAGAAGUGGUAGUCAAGAUGGUUUCAAAGGUCUGUUCCAUUUUCAUAUCUUUCUGUUGGUGGUUUACUUUGUACAAAAGCUUCUGAUGCAUAUUACUUUGGAUAGUGACUGAUGAAUGCAUGACAUAUACUGCAACUUAUGUGCAUGGUCUUAUUUUGGCAUGUUUGGGUGCCAAUUGCGUUGAUAUGACUUCUUUAAUUUUCGUAUAGCUAACCAAAGCUGCUCCAGACAACAUGAGUCUGGUGGUUUCAGUUUCAACAAAGACUGUGGAUUUUCAUUUUGGCAUGAGAUUUUGAUUUCACUCUCUUUGUUAAUUGAAAGUGUUUUUCCCCAAUCCCCACAUUUUGAUCCUACAGGCUCUGCGAUCCACAACUACACUUCCAGCUACAUUUCUUAUAACAGGAUUAUAAAUGUUCAAAACACUAAGUUGGAUAAUUAAUUGGAGAAAAAAUGAGACAUACAUAUUGACGUAGGUGUCUGCCACAUGUUAUGAGACAGAAUGUUUUGCAAUGAGUCAUUUGAAGAGUUUGACGUAAUAACCUGUUAGAGGGCAGAAGAAAGUUAUCUUAGUUGCCUUGCUAGAAUGAAGAAUCAUGGUAGAAUUGAACAUUGAGUUAUAAGAUCUGAUGGUAUAGGAGCCUCGAGUUGUGGCUGUCAUCUCAAUGUUGCUAUAUUAAAAAGACAUUGCGAACUGACUGAAGUAUCUCACCAGGAGUGGUUGAUCAAAAUUAUUUUGAGCCAAGUCCUGUACUUACAUGUCUCAGAGCAUAUGGUGAUACUCUCCAGUGUUCUGUUAAAAUCUGCGUACAUUGCAUGUCUUUAUUCUGAUUGACUGUUAUAUAUUUAGGUAUUCAUGCUUCUAUUUUACUCUGGUUCUCUUGUACAGGUGAUAACAAUAUUAACCUCAUUCACGAAACUGGUAGACCUCAUAAAAAAAUAUUGAUAGUGUAUUUCAUUCGAAACUAACUGGAUCAUCGAAAUCAAUGCUUAAUGCUUUGCAUAGAUACGUUCCUACUAUUCGUGAGCAGUUACAGGUAUUGUAAUACCUCACCUCAUCAGUCCUUUCUUAAUGCAUUGUUAGUCGUUGGCACACUUUGCUCUGAUCUUUGCUUUUCAGCUGCUUACACAAAACACACUCUAAUUUGAUUGAUAGAAAUAUCUUGUCAACAAAUCUUAGAAGUGGAUGAGUGACAAGCCUUGCAACAGUAAUAAUGAUCACCGUAUAAAUUAGUACAUGCUGAUAAUGUGUAGUUCCCUUAAAGUAAUGAGGAACAUCUCUACUGAUGAACUGGCUGCUGCCACACGAGUGAAAAUUAGACAAACCAUAUGCAUAAAUUUAUAUUAUUUCCCCCUAUCUUGACUUGCACAUUCCUUUGAGCUAAUUGGAGAAAUAAAGUGAGCACUAAUUUUGUAAGGGGCCAGUUUGUGUGCAUUUUGCUAGAGUAAUCCUAAGGGGAAAAAAUAAACUUGAAAGGUUUAUGAAAGAGGAAGAAAGAAAGUUCCAGAAGGGAUGAAUGCAAGUUUUAAUGUGCUAUGACGUGGUUAGUGUCCUAUACAUUGAAUGAACUUUGCGCAUAUUUCUUCUUUUCAAACUACCUUUUACUGAAUUAUAAGUUUUAAUAAAUUCAAUGUGCUAAAAUGAUAAAGUUCUUAAAUAAUCUGUUUCUUGCCUCUGGAUAUCAGCAUGGAUUUACAAUGAAAUUUCUGAAGUGGUGUCGAUUUUUCAGGGAUGUUCAAUUAGUACCAAUCGUUUCUAAGUUAGUAGUAUUUUCCUUGGGCUGAAUAUGUGAUUCAGUUAAUUAGGCCUCUGAUUUUCCUGAUAUAAAGAUGAAUCUCCAAUCAAUACUAACAUGUUAAUUUAUGUGGUCAGGUUGGGACGCUGUACAGAAAAUGAGAAGAUGAGGCAAUCCUAAUAUUGGAUUUGUGUUAUACAAGUGAAAUUUCUUUUGUAACGCAUGCUAAGUUAUAAUUGUCGGGAAAUCAGCCUAUCAAAGUGAAUAUGAACAAUCUAACACUUCUCUUUAAAACCUCUCUCAUAAGCAAGCUUAAGAAUGUAAUCUUCAACUAAGGGUGUCAA